Callorhinchus milii (elephant shark) is the source of this 719-nucleotide long non-coding RNA. RefSeq lists it as uncharacterized. Lineage: Eukaryota; Metazoa; Chordata; Chondrichthyes; Chimaeriformes; Callorhinchidae. The transcript has 3 exons. The record is from RefSeq and is a predicted model, not a curated record.
AGGAGAAUUCCCUGCCCACAGUGACUUGUCAAGCAGGAAAUCAGAAGUGCAAUAAGGAAACAGAACUGGAACUGAACUGCAGCGAACAACAUCAGCACUCAGCGAGGGAGCUUGCUUGAGUUUUCCCAGCGAAAAUGAGCAGUCAACUCAAAAUGCAUUUCGAUGGGAACUGGCUCAUGGAGAAGGUGGGAUACAUCAGCGUCUCCAGGUUUCAGGAUCGAUAUAUUGCUGAAGUCAUCAGGAAGGAAGGCAGAGCCAGUGACUGCAAAACGAAGAAGACGACGAAAACCGAAGUUAAUGACUUGCGAGUGGAGAAAGAGGCAAAAGGUGUGCUGUGUGAGUCGUAAUCAGCUGCUCAUCGGCCUCACAAUGGGAAGAAGAAAUAAAGGAUAAGAAAAUUCAAUUGGACACAAACAGUCGUGGAUUCAAGUGACCAAUUUAUUAUUGUUUUUUUUGUUGAGGGAUUGUAAUUAGGGGUUUGGAGUCAAUAAUAAUUUAGUCAAUAAUAACUCCAUACUUUUGGGUGAUGGAACCGGGAACUGCACAACAAUGUAUAAUCUUUUGAUGCACAUAUAUUUGGAGAAAAUGGACAUUAAAUUGCAUAUUGCUCCUCUAUUGCUUCCGCAGCAUUUGAUCAGCUUAAAUUAACUGUACAUAUCCAAUACUGUGAUUUUUUUACUUAUUUGUAAAUAGUCUGAAUAAACCUUGAUGUCUGUGUA